AAGUCCCGCCUGCCCAGUGACUGUUUGUUCAACAGGCCGCGGUACUUUGACCGUGCGAAGGUAGCGCAAUCACUUGUCUUUUAAAUGGAGACCUGUAUGAAUGGCUAGACGAGGGCUUGACUGUCUCCUUUUUCCAGUCAAUGAAAUUGAUCUUCCCGUGCAGAAGCGGGAAUGAUAACAUAAGACGAGAAGACCCUGUGGAGCUUUAGACACUAAAUCAGCCCUCGUCCAAACCCCCCAUUAAAGGGCAGAACGCCAAAGUGAGACCUGAUCUGAUGUCUUCGGUUGGGGCGACCUUGGGGAAAGAAAAAACCCCCGCGCGGAAUGGAAGUACUACUUCCAAAACUAAGAGCCACCACUCACAGUACCACAAAUUUUGACCAACAAUAUGAUCCAGCUUAACGCCGAUCAACGGACUAAGUUACCCCAGGGAUAACACCGCAAUCCUCUUCUAUAGCCCAUAGCGACAAGAGGGUCUACGACCUCCAUGGAGGAUCAGGACACUCCCAAUGGUGCAGCCGCUAUCAAGGGUUCGCUUGCUCUACUAUUGGAUCAUUAGUUGAU
This 564-nucleotide ribosomal RNA is filed under the name Pomacentrus bangladeshius. RNAcentral's name for it is "partial large subunit ribosomal RNA". It matches the Rfam family "Bacterial large subunit ribosomal RNA", at positions 1850 to 2604 of the family's 2925-position model. Lineage: Eukaryota; Metazoa; Chordata; Actinopteri; Pomacentridae. The record is from RNAcentral.